GGAGUUAAGACGUGGCGGUGCACAUAAGACAUAGCAAGGUACGAACGGGAAUCGUUAUUAAUGGAAAUAAGAUUUAUCUGAAAUAAGUUAAUAACAAUGAUUUUAGUGCGGACUGGUGAGUAACACGUAAGCAACCUGCCAUUAGAGGGGAAGUAACAGUGAGAAUCAUUGCUAAUACCGCAUAAGCUGACAAUAUCGCAUGAUAUAGUCAGAAAAGGAGAAAUCCGCUAAUAGAUGGGCUUGCGUCCGAUUAGCUAGUUGGUGGGGUAAAGGCCUACCAAGGCAACGAUCGGUAGCCGAGCUGAGAGGCUCAACGGCCACAUUGGGACUGAGAUACGGCCCAGACUCCUACGGGAGGCAGCAGUCGGGAAUAUUGCACAAUGGAGGAAACUCUGAUGCAGUGACACCGCGUAUAGGAAGAAGGUUUUCGGAUUGUAAGCUAUUUUAGACAGGGAAGAAAAAAGACAGUACCUGUAGAAUAAGCUCCGGCUAACUACGUG
RNAcentral lists this ribosomal RNA (500 nucleotides) under uncultured bacterium. Its description in RNAcentral is "bacterial SSU rRNA". It matches the Rfam family "Bacterial small subunit ribosomal RNA", at positions 37 to 507 of the family's 1533-position model. The record is from RNAcentral.